This 20-nucleotide non-coding RNA is filed under the name Arabidopsis thaliana (thale cress). RNAcentral also lists the same sequence under 1 other name. Lineage: Eukaryota; Viridiplantae; Streptophyta; Magnoliopsida; Brassicales; Brassicaceae. The record is from RNAcentral.
GUCGGACCAGGCUUCAUUCC